ACUCGAGUGGCGAACGGGUGAGUAACACGUGGGUGAUCUGCCCUGCACUUUGGGAUAAGCCUGGGAAACUGGGUCUAAUACCGAAUAGGACCGCGCGCUUCAUGGUGUGUGGUGGAAAGCUUUUGCGGUGUGGGAUGGGCCCGCGGCCUAUCAGCUUGUUGGUGGGGUAAUGGCCUACCAAGGCGACGACGGGUAGCCGGCCUGAGAGGGUGACCGGCCACACUGGGACUGAGAUACGGCCCAGACUCCUACGGGAGGCAGCAGUGGGGAAUAUUGCACAAUGGGCGCAAGCCUGAUGCAGCGACGCCGCGUGAGGGAUGACGGCCUUCGGGUUGUAAACCUCUUUCACCAGGGACGAAGCGCAAGUGACGGUACCUGGAGAAGAAGCACCGGCCAACUACGUGCCAGCAGCCGCGGUAAUACGUAGGGUGCGAGCGUUGUCCGGAAUUACUG
Molecule: ribosomal RNA, 453 nt
Filed under: Mycolicibacterium llatzerense
Lineage: Bacteria; Bacillati; Actinomycetota; Actinomycetes; Mycobacteriales; Mycobacteriaceae
Description: bacterial SSU rRNA
Rfam family: Bacterial small subunit ribosomal RNA
Source: RNAcentral